This 487-nucleotide ribosomal RNA is filed under the name uncultured bacterium. Its description in RNAcentral is "bacterial SSU rRNA". It matches the Rfam family "Bacterial small subunit ribosomal RNA", at positions 29 to 528 of the family's 1533-position model. The record is from RNAcentral.
AACGAACGCUGGCGGCGCGUCUUAAACAUGCAAGUCGAACGAUCUGUAGCAAUACAGGGAGUGGCGGACGGGUGAGGAACACGUAGGAAUCUACCUUGAAGAGCGGGACAACUUUGGGAAACCGGGGCUAAUACCGCAUAGUACAGAGAUGUUAAAGGGCUAGCAAUAGUCGCUUCGAGAUGAGCCUGCGGUCUAUCAGCUUGUUGGUGAGGUAAUGGCUCACCAAGGCUACGACGGAUAGCCGGUCUGAGAGGAUGAUCGGCCACACUGGCACUGAGACACGGGCCAGACUCCUACGGGAGGCAGCAGUUAAGAAUCUUGCGCAAUGGGGGAAACCCUGACGCAGCGACGCCGCGUGAAGGAUGAAGGCUUUCGGGUUGUAAACUUCGGUAGACUGGAAGAAGAAAUAACGUUCGUUGAGGGCGUAUAGUGACGGUACCAGUCUGAAGCCCCGGCUAAUUACGUGCCAGCAGCCGCGGUAAGUCGU